CAAGGGACACAGCUCAGGACAGCAGAGGAAGGCACUCUCAGCAGGCGCUUUGGAAGUAGAAGCCUGAGCUGCCUUCAGCCUUCACUCUGCCAUGAAAUCCAACCUGCUGGUCACAGGAAGCUCCGGCUGACAGAGGAUGCCUUUCCUUUGCCUCCAGGUAUUUCUUAAAGUGUUAGGACAGGAGCAGUGUUCCCUGUUGCCUAGCAUGAUCCUGGCAUCAGUGACUGCUUCUCAGGACACAGGAGAGCAAAGAGCACCACUGCAGGAGUCUCUGGGCCCUGGAAGGCUGACAGAUAUAGCCGGCACCUAGCUGAAAGGCAACACAGUGAAUAGAGCUGGCUACGGUUCCAUAUAUUCAGAUGGAGUAAACUGCAUGCAUGAAGAACUUUCUUGUGAAAAAUACAUACAUCUGUCUCACUGCUGGUUGACUGAAGCACACAAUGAUUAAUUAGAGAUGGGCCAAUUUUGUAUAGUUCAAUAUGAACUUGCCACUUCUCUGGCUGUUUCGUCUCUGCCAUCCCUCCAACCGGCCAAAAUUUAUUCCAGAAUAUUGGGCGUUUGCUCUGUUACCAGGAGCAGAAGUUGCAGUGCCUGGAACUAGACAAAGUCUACACUGAGGCUUUUUAUGCCGCAUGGAGGGAAAAAAGAAAAAACCACAUGCGGUGUCAGCCCUAAUCCCCGACCGCCUGUGUGUCGGGCAGGCGAAGGUCGUACUCCGAACCGCAGCGCUGCAGUAGGAAGUUGCACAUGACUUCUUCCCAUGGCAGGCUGUAGCUGCUCUAGCCUAUACUAAGAAGUUGUACUUCUAAAAAAGAUACCCACUGGCAGAAUCCGCGGGUCAGCAUGCCUGCCCUCCAAAAAUCAUACCAAUAGUCUUUACAGGCAGUCCAAAAGACUGAAAUUCUGCCACAGCGUGACGUGUCCCGGGCACCUCAGGCCCGCACGUCUCCUCCCCGCGCGGGCCUGGGCUCGGCAGCCACGCGUACAAAGGGAUCUUCUUGCCUGACCGCCUACACCGCGAGGGAGUUACGGACGCGCUCGGUCCUUUAGUCCCUGUAACACCAAGGGAAGUCAGCAGAAAUCAGCCUGUUCAGCAUCUCUGAAUUUUCUGAAUCCUUUGUGAGGCUUUGUUUGUAAUAUCUUUGUUUUAAGUUAGUAAUUCAGCUGUAUUUCCAUAAAACUACACUAAAACAAAACUUCCAUGUGUACCCUCAAAAACUUGCAUAAGAAAAUGCACCCCAGUAAUGCCGGUGAGCAAAUCCAGUCCAGGAAGGGGAGCGACGCAGCCGGCUAGCUGCCAUUAACCGACACAGCUACAGCUUGGGAUUGUUCAGAGAGAAGAGCGGCAGGAGGGAAGAGGGCAGCCACGUGCCAGACCUGCGUGCUCUCGGAGGCUUUGCGCAGCUCCUACUCGAGGGGUUCAAUCAGAGAGUCUCACAUGAUACCGUGAGUGUGCUGGACAGGAGCUGAGCUCUGCACCCUUCCUAGGCUACGUAAACAGUCAGCAUUUUAGUUAGAUCAAGAGCCAAGCUGAGCUUUGGAUGCAGCGACACAUGGAAAAUACAAUGCCGUAACAAUAAAUCUAAUGUACAAAGCUGGGGCUAAUUAGUUUGAAUCAGUCUUAUUUUGCAGAAAGAAAAAGAAAAAUCAGAGAACAGUUUGCUUCUGCUGGGGAUGAUAUCCCUCAAAAAAAAAAAAAAAAAAAAUCUCUUUCCCUAAACCUCUUAGCAAACAGGAAUGCUGACUGUUGUGGAAGCGAGCUACAUCCCGGCCCCGGCUAGCGGGGUGAGGACCACAGCAAUUACGAAAAAUGGAGAAAAGAAUCCCUUCAAUACCAUGAAAAAAAAAAGACCUGGCCUGCAGCCAGUUCUCAUGUUUUUGGGCUCGUCAUUCAGCUGAAUGACAACAGUGGGUAAAACUGACUUCUUCCUCUUCAUUAGCUGUCCAGCAAAACUUUUCCCUUCCAUUUAUCUAUCUGUAAAUAUUUUCCAAACUGAGCAGUGAAAGAGAAAAAAAAUAACACACCAUGAGCAGGGCAUGGUUUCCUCUAGACUCAGGGACAAAUGUGAACAAUAAAUGCUGCUCCCGAGAGCAGCAGUACUAAUGAAGUUGGUUUGCUUUCUUUUAAUCCCCCGCUCUUUCAUAUCGCCUCUUUUCCACCCCUGCAGAUGUGCACUCUCUGAUGUUGUCUAACGCUGGCUGAGCUCAUGAGCCUCCCUGCGGGGGAGCGGUACCCGACCUCUCCUCCCUGCGCGUCCCCGCUCCCGCAGCAGGCAGGACCUGGCACCCGACCCUUCGGCGCUGCACGCUCCUCGACCUCCUGCGUUUGGGCUUCCUUCCCCACUUAUUUUGUGCUUAGGACUACCGAGUCGACGCUGUCAAAUAUUUCCACAUCCACGUUCAUAGACCUAAAAACUUGUACAUUAAAUAGGAUUUCUAAUAAGUAACAGCAGCCGAGGACCAGAAUAUGUUCACUGAAUACAAACGAUGCAGAUGCUGGAUUACCGUUGUCAGUUUUAGUAGACAGGGAGGUGACAUAGUGGUUGCUGCUUCGGAAAUAUUCAAGCCUACUGACACUGAAUUAUUGAAUAAAUGUUUCAGCCCUUUGUAAGAACAGAAAGGUACAGACCUUCACACUCAACAGGCUCCAGGGGAGACCUUUGCCCACCUUUUUGUUUCCAGUAAAUCACAAAAUCUCAGCUUCCUCCCUCGUAUGUGUGUGUGUACGUGCUUACCGAGACAGACAUACUCGGAACACCACUGCGUACCAGAAGUAGAAAUAACACUGAGACUAAGAUCAGCCACACUGUUAUUUUUAAAGCCCUGCAUCUGUAUCACGAGCAGGCGAGCCACGUAGUCAGUUAGCGCAGUAAUCUCCUGGCUAGUCACUAAAGAGGGCCCUUUUCUUGGUUAGCAGCUAACGAGACGGCUUUCAGCAGCGCGUGGCCGCUGUGUGCACGGAUGUGACAGUCUGGUAAUUGCACACAAACUUCAAAAGAAUUCUUCUAGAAACACUGCAAUAUGACACAGCACAAGGUAACUGCUAGAGGUUUAAUAAGUCAGAGCAUCCAGAGACAGAGAACUGCGUGGACAGGAGGAAGAAGAAAAGGCCUAAGAUUCAAACGAAGAUAGCGAAGAUCUCGCUCACAAGGAAAAUACCAGGCCUCUGCUUAGUUUAAUCUCAAGAGUUUCUAAUCACACGUCUUUUCUUACAUAAAAUUGCAAGUGCUCGAACAUUUUUUUCAGUGAAAGCAAGACCAAGACAAUAGCAGUGUAAUUUCCAAGAUGUUGAAUUUGUCUCUUACAGUUGUAGAGUACCCUGAAAUUCCGCAGCAUCGUUGGGUUUCAGUGGAUUGCAGCAUUUGCAGGUAUAAUUUGAUACAGUACCAAAGUUGUUAAACUUCUUAAAAACACUACCUCUCUCUUUUCUGUCCCCCUUGCGCCCUUUUUACCAUAGACUGGAUUUGAAAGCUGGCUGGUUAUAUCAGAAUAUUGGAAAAACAUAGCCCAGUUUUCUAAAUAAUAAAAACCAAAAUGCAUUCCAAACUUCCAACAGUCCUUCAUCUUUGGCAAACAGAUAAAAAUAAAAAGUUAUUCAUGGUAA
Long non-coding RNA from Aquila chrysaetos chrysaetos, 3604 nucleotides. RefSeq lists it as uncharacterized. The transcript is spliced from 8 exons. Lineage: Eukaryota; Metazoa; Chordata; Aves; Accipitriformes; Accipitridae. The record is from RefSeq and is a predicted model, not a curated record.